AUUGAACGCUGGCGGCAUGCCUUACACAUGCAAGUCGAACGGCAGCACGGGAGCUUGCUCCUGGUGGCGAGUGGCGAACGGGUGAGUAAUACAUCGGAACGUACCCAGUAGUGGGGGAUAACGCACCGAAAGGUGCGCUAAUACCGCAUACGACCUAAGGGUGAAAGCGGGGGACCGUAAGGCCUCGCGCUAUUGGAGCGGCCGAUGUCUGAUUAGCUAGUUGGUGAGGUAAAGGCUCACCAAGGCUUCGAUCAGUAGCUGGUCUGAGAGGACGAUCAGCCACACUGGGACUGAGACACGGCCCAGACUCCUACGGGAGGCAGCAGUGGGGAAUCUUGGACAAUGGGCGAAAGCCUGAUCCAGCAAUGCCGCGUGUGCGAAGAAGGCCUUCGGGUUGUAAAGCACUUUUGUCAGGGAGAGAAAUCUCUUAGGCUAAUACCUUAGAAGGAUGACGUA
Molecule: ribosomal RNA, 456 nt
Filed under: uncultured bacterium
Lineage: Bacteria
Description: bacterial SSU rRNA
Rfam family: Bacterial small subunit ribosomal RNA
Source: RNAcentral